UUCUUGUGGACCUGGGGUAUGUUUUCAGGAACCACAGACCUAAGAGGAUAUUCACUGCCAGUAGAGGGUGCUGUAGCUCCUAAGUCUGCUGGGCUCUGGAGUUAUGGGAGAGUACCCACUCAGAGGAGAGGAGCAUGAACACAUUGAUCUUAUUUGGACAGGCUUUUGUCUGGGACACAUCCAAACCCAAACAGCCAGGGGAAGUACCACAACAGGGUGUCCAUGGUGGAGAGAGUGGCUAUCUUCAAGUACCUCAGUAUCCGUAUCCCCUGAAAUACUGAGGAAUUUGUACUCCUGCAUCAUUUAGAGGAUCUUGACAGGGAGCAUCACUACCUGGUAUGGAAGUACGACUGCAUUUCUAUCCUGCCUAAAGACAUUUAUACCAGACACUGCACAAAUAAGGACAGUGGAGAAUCAUUAAGGGUCCCAGCCACCAGGAUAAUGGCCUUUUCUGUCUGCCACAAUCAGGACGAAGGGUCCAGGAUCACCAGGCCAGCACUGAGAGUCCCUGCCAUCCAUAAAUGAAGACACUGUCUAAGACUUCACCAUAAGAAUACCUUUCUUACUUACUUACUUACUCCGUAUCAUUAUUAUUGCAAAGCAACAGGUUCCUGCUUUUUUUCCCCAUCUGUUUAGAAUAAGGCAGCAUAAAAUCAUUUCAAUCACGGAGCCAAAUUUACGAUCAACUGAUUGCACAGAUAUGCAGUUCUGCAGCUUCUUGGCUUAUUGGCUGUUUUGACUGCAUCGCUAUCUUUGGCUGCAUGAAAUAACCACUUACUGGAAUAAAAGAAACUGUGUUAUACCUCA
Molecule: long non-coding RNA, 807 nt
Organism: Larimichthys crocea (large yellow croaker)
Lineage: Eukaryota; Metazoa; Chordata; Actinopteri; Sciaenidae
Exons: 3
Source: RefSeq, a predicted model, not a curated record